RNAcentral lists this ribosomal RNA (468 nucleotides) under uncultured bacterium. Its description in RNAcentral is "bacterial SSU rRNA". It matches the Rfam family "Bacterial small subunit ribosomal RNA", at positions 8 to 524 of the family's 1533-position model. The record is from RNAcentral.
AGAGUUUGAUCAUGGCUCAGAGCGAACGCUGGCGGCAGGCCUAAUACAUGCAAGUCGAACGGCUCUUCGGAGCAGUGGCGGACGGGUGAGUAACGCGUGGGAAUGUGCCCUUUGGUACGGAACAACUGAGGGAAACUUCAGCUAAUACCGUAUGUGCCCUUCGGGGGAAAGAUUUAUUGCCAUUGGAGCAGCCCGCGUUGGAUUAGCUAGUUGGUGGGGUAAAGGCCCACCAAGGCGACGAUCCAUAGCUGGUCUGAGAGGAUGAUCAGCCACACUGGGACUGAGACACGGCCCAGACUCCUACGGGAGGCAGCAGUAGGGAAUCUUGCGCAAUGGGCGAAAGCCUGACGCAGCCAUGCCGCGUGAAUGAUGAAGGUCUUAGGAUUGUAAAAUUCUUUCACCGGGGAAGAUAAUGACGGUACCCGGAGAAGAAGCCCCGGCUAACUUCGUGCCAGCAGCCGCGGUAAU